Non-coding RNA from Picea glauca (white spruce), 118 nucleotides. The record is from Rfam. Lineage: Eukaryota; Viridiplantae; Streptophyta; Pinopsida; Pinales; Pinaceae.
AUGUACAUGCCUCCAACAUUAAUUCUACAGAUCCCAUCGGAACUUUGCAAUUAAGCAUGCUUUGGCUAGAGUAGUAUCGUGAUGGGUGACCUCCCUGGAAGUCCUAGUGUUUUACAUG